Molecule: non-coding RNA, 889 nt
Organism: Pelodiscus sinensis (Chinese soft-shelled turtle)
Lineage: Eukaryota; Metazoa; Chordata; Testudines; Trionychidae
Source: RefSeq, a predicted model, not a curated record
AGUUUUGGCAUAAAAAUAGGAUUAUGACUCCACAUUAGAAACAAGAUGAAGGACACUGGAGCGGCAAGAUGAUCUACUAAAUAGGGCAUUGGACUAGGACUUCAGACAUCUAAUAACUAAUUACAGUGAAUUGGCUGAUCACGCUUACCACUGCCCUCUACUGAAGGGAAACAGAAGUGCUGAGGGCCUAGAAACCUAGGCAUGGACCAGGACCCCAUUGUGCUUGGAGCUGUUCAAACCCAGAGCAAAAAGACAGUCCCUGUUAGCUGGUCGAGGUGCAUCAGUGUAUAUCCAGAGCACUACAAAGGACAACGCAUUCCCUGAACCACUGCCCACAUCAGAGAGUGGGGGCUGAUUUUCCAUUGACUGCUCUUUGUGAAGUUAUUUACACCAGUGCAUAGCAGGGUCAGGUGGCCAGUUUGAAUCAGUGGAGGAUCUGGCUUUCAAUUUCUAAGGCCUCACCUACACAGUAAAGUUGUGCUAAUUUAACUUAAAUAUGUUUUAAAAUACGAAACUGAUGCAAACUACUGUGUGGACACAAGUAAUGUGGUUUAAUAGUAUCUCAUUAUGACUUAAUUUAAGCCUGUUUGACUUCAGCUAAACUGAACAAAAUAUGCAUGCUAAAAUCAGUGCAUGAUUCACACAAGGGCUUGCUGUAUGAAUUUAAAUUCACAGCUAAGGUAACAACAGGGCAUCUUUCUCAUGCUGACAGGGCCUCGUUUGAUGGUUGGGUGCAAAACGCUGUGAAACUUGUUUUGUUUCUCUUCAGCUGCAGCCACUAGAAUUCUGAAACGAAAAAGGAAAACCAGGCAUCACACCCUAACCAUGAAUGUUGUCAAAUAGCAUGCUUAGAUAAGGAUUAGUUAUGUGCGGAUUUCUUUUCAUUCCA